Molecule: non-coding RNA, 613 nt
Organism: Python bivittatus (Burmese python)
Lineage: Eukaryota; Metazoa; Chordata; Lepidosauria; Squamata; Pythonidae
Source: RefSeq, a predicted model, not a curated record
GUCUGGGUUCAGUAAACAAAAUGAAGAAUUUCUCUAGCACUCUUUUGGGAAUUGCUCUGAGAGGAGAACCUGAACACUUGACAGAGAACUCGUGUUCACCUGGGAAUCACAUGAAAUAUCAGAGACACUGUUGACAGUUUUGAGAUAAAUUAUGAAGCAUUGACCAGCAGUAUGAAAAUUAGGGACCGGAUUAUAUGAGGUGCAGAAAAGCAAGGAUCUAGAAAAUAAAAUAGACAUCUGGAACAGAAGAGAGAACAACAGAGUGACAGAAAUAACCAAAUUCACUGAGGCCAAGUAAUACAUAUCUCAUCUGAGAUUUUUCAUUCUAGACAGACUCAUCCUGCAUUCUGGCCUAGUGUCUGGAGUAGAACCAGGGUUUCAGGGCCAUGUAGAAGGACAGAAGGUCAGAGCCAUCUGAACCUCACAGGGCUUGUGCUGCAGAGAGAAGACAUGCCUCCAGGGCUCUCCAGGUGACACAGUUUCAUAAAAAGGAACCAAAGCAUGCACACUCUACUGGAUCUUGUGGGCCCAUCCCUGUACUAUGAAGGACUGUGUAUGUGAUCAUCAGCACCUUUAAUUGUACUUGGAAGUCCAUAGGAAGCAAGGGCAACUU